RNAcentral lists this transfer RNA (69 nucleotides) under Brachycentrus kozlovi. RNAcentral describes it as "tRNA-His". The record is from RNAcentral. Lineage: Eukaryota; Metazoa; Arthropoda; Insecta; Trichoptera; Brachycentridae.
ACUUAAAUAGUUUAAAUUAAAAAUAUUAAUUUGUGGUAUUAAUGAUAUAUAUAAAUUAUAUUUUAAGUU